UCCCUGGUGGUCCAGUGGUUAGGACUCUGCACUUUGACUGCCAGGGGCCUGGGUUUGAUCCCUGUUGUGGAA
Molecule: transfer RNA, 72 nt
Filed under: Bos taurus (domestic cattle)
Lineage: Eukaryota; Metazoa; Chordata; Mammalia; Artiodactyla; Bovidae
Also listed under: 1 other name
Rfam family: tRNA
About the family: Transfer RNA (tRNA) molecules are approximately 80 nucleotides in length. Their secondary structure includes four short double-helical elements and three loops (D, anti-codon, and T loops).
Source: Rfam by way of RNAcentral